Molecule: unclassified non-coding RNA, 341 nt
Filed under: Hevea brasiliensis (rubber tree)
Lineage: Eukaryota; Viridiplantae; Streptophyta; Magnoliopsida; Malpighiales; Euphorbiaceae
Source: RNAcentral
UGGGGUCUUCCACAAAAUGAUCUAGUAUUUCAGGGAUUCGUUUCUUCUUCUUCUUCUUUGCUUUUAGACGUUCUUCUUCCUCCUUAUCACUUCUGAUGCUCGCUUCAAAUCGUCUAAUCUCAGCCAACUUCUCUUGUUCCUCUCGCAUCCCCAUUUGUUCAUUGUAAACCCUCCUCACCUUCUCUUCUCUUAGUCUUUCUUCAGUUCUCUGCUUCUCUUGCUUGUCCCACCAUCUAUGUUCUUCUCUAACUUUCUUUUUUCCAGACUCAGCUGAACUCAUGCUCCCAUGUCUUGUAUGCUUCUCAAAACUUGAUAGCUCAACGAUUCUUUUUGUCUUCCGG